GGGGUGAUAGCUCAGUGGUGAAGCUCAUGCUUAGCAUGCACAAGGUCCUGGGUUCAAUCUCCAGUACCUCCA
Transfer RNA from Camelus ferus (Wild Bactrian camel), 72 nucleotides. It matches the Rfam family "tRNA". Rfam says of the family: Transfer RNA (tRNA) molecules are approximately 80 nucleotides in length. Their secondary structure includes four short double-helical elements and three loops (D, anti-codon, and T loops). Further hydrogen bonds mediate the characteristic L-shaped molecular structure. tRNAs have two regions of fundamental functional importance: the anti-codon, which is responsible for specific mRNA codon recognition, and the 3' end, to which the tRNAs corresponding amino acid is attached (by aminoacyl-tRNA synthetases). tRNAs cope with the degeneracy of the genetic code in two manners: having more than one tRNA (with a specific anti-codon) for a particular amino acid; and 'wobble' base-pairing, i.e. permitting non-standard base-pairing at the 3rd anti-codon position. The record is from Rfam. NCBI's taxonomy places the organism in Eukaryota, Metazoa, Chordata, Mammalia, Artiodactyla, Camelidae.